Molecule: ribosomal RNA, 4920 nt
Filed under: Triticum aestivum (bread wheat)
Lineage: Eukaryota; Viridiplantae; Streptophyta; Magnoliopsida; Poales; Poaceae
Description: partial small subunit ribosomal RNA
Source: RNAcentral
AUGAGCAAGAGAAAAAAGGAAGAGCGAGAACAUCAGCGCAAGAGGCCACUAAGUGUAACAGAUACAGACCUGAUGGGAAAAGGCAAAGGAAGAGAUGCCCUACCUGCCAUCAGCUAUACAGAUCAACAAAUACCUUUUCGGAACUUGCGUACAAAUCAUCAACCAUUGCAACUCAAGGAACCAUGCAUGUGCAGGUGCCGAAUUUGCAAGGUGUUACGAGGAAAUUCAAAUCAUCAACCAUUGCAACUCAAGGAACCAUCAACUGUACACAGUGCAGUAACUGUGAAGCAAAUUACCAAACAAAGACAAGAAAAUGAAUUAGCAAGAACAGCAAGGAUGAAGGGGAAACUUGUGUUGAAGGGGCAAUUCAACACAAAUACAGCAAGGAUGAAGACAUGGAAUUUUGAGGAGGCAGCUAUAAGAAAACAACAAAUACUGGGCUGGAGAUUGCAAAAAUUAUGCACUUGCCAACGUUGCCACACGUUCAGGGCAAAAUCAAAUUAUCAACCAGCACAAGUCAUGGAAUCAUCAGCUGUAAACAGUGCAAUAAUGGCUGACCAGAUGAUGAAACUAAGACGCCAGGACGAAUUAACAAGAACGGCACGGAUGAAGAGGAAAGCACAAAUUCAACUUAACAAGAGCAGAAAACGUGCCAGAACCAAUAAUGGUGAUAUAGACAGGGUUGACAAUUCUAAUGCCAGUAAGAUAUGGAACUUUGGGGGGCCAACAUGCAUCUGCCAACACUGCCAUGCACUUAUGUGGCAUGGAGAAAAACUACAAUCUUCCAGUAGCACACAACCAUCCUUUGGACAAUGCUGCAAACAAGGGAAGAUUAUCUUGCCGCCAUUUAAAGAACCACCGCCUUACCUUACAAGUUUAUUGACAAGGGGUGGAGGGGAAAUAUCAGCGAACUACCGAAAAAACAUUAGGUCUUACAAUUCCAUGUUUGCGUUCACAUCAAUGGGGGGAAUUUUGGAUAAGAAAAUAAACAAAGGGCGUGGACCUUAUGUUUUCCGACUGAAUGGUCAGAACCGCCACCAGAUAGGAACCCUGCUACCUGAAGAAGGAAAUAAGCCUCGUUUUCAACAGUUGUAUAUUUAUGACACAAAGAAUGAGAUCCAGAAUAGGAUAGAAGCAUCAAGAUCUGGUAAACGUGAUGCCUUACUAGAUGAAAAAAUUGUCAGUGGCCUACUAACCAUGCUCGACAAGAAUAACACAUUGGCACAAUCGUUCCGGAUGGCAAGAGAUAGAUUUAAAGAAAAUGACUACAAUAACUUCACUCUAAGGUUACUCGGCGAUAGGGAUCAAGAUGGGAGGCAACACAACAUGCCAUCAACAUCAGAAGUUGCCGCGUUGAUAGUCAAAGAUCCAACCCAAAGAUAUGGACGUGACAUUGUUCUUGAGUACAAAGAUAAGAAACCUAAAAGGAUAUCAGAAAUUCAUCCAAAAUUCAUGGCCAUGCAAUACCCGUUGCUCUUCCCAUAUGGAGAAGAUGGUUAUAGACUUGGAAUAAAAUACAACAAAAGGAAAGGUUUAAGUAACAAGAAAUACAUCAGCAUGCUGGAAUACUAUGCAUAUCACUUCCAACAGCGCCCAGGCCAGUCGAUGUUAAUGCUAACGUGUGGAAAUCUGUCAAUGCAGUUUGUGGUUGAUGUCUUCACAUGCAUCGAACAUAAUAGGCUCCACUGGAUCAGAGAAAAUCAAGGAAUUUUACGAACGGAACUUUAUGACGGACUACAGGAUGCAUUCAGAAAAGGAGACACACGGACAGAACAAGUAGGCAGGCGAAUAGUACUCCCAGCAAGUUUUACAGGAAGUCCUCGAAACAAAGAGCAAAACUACCAAGAUAUGAUGGCAAUAUGCCGUUGGGCUGGACAACCCCAAUUGUUCAUAACAUUCACAUGCAACCCUAAUUGGCCAGAGAUUCGGUUGAUGCUAAAUGAAGCUGGGAACCAGAAGCCAGCAGAACGUCCUGAUAUUGUAGUUCGAGUGUUCAUGAUAAAAUUGAAAGAGCUAAUGUCUGAUAUUAGCAGAAAACAGCAUUUUGGAAAGACUAAAGCAUCCGUCUACACAAUAGAAUUUCAAAAGAGAGGACUCCCACAUGCCCAUAUUCUAAUUUUCCUUGAAAACGGACAAAAAAGUCUCAACCCCUCACAAAUUGAUGAAAUAAUAUGCGCUGAGAUCCCGGACAAUGACAAGGAUCCAGAAACAUUCAAAGCUGUCAAGAAUUUUAUGAUGCACGGACCGUGUGGAGAGGCAAAUCCAAAGUCCCCGUGCAUGGAGAAAUAUAUGUGCACCAAGCGUUUUCCAAAAAUAUUUUCUGAAGAGACGAUCGUAGAUGAAGAUCAUUUCCCACGAUACAGGAGACGAGACAAUGGGCGACAAAUAGAUAAGGGAGGAGUCAAAAUGAACAAUGGUUUUGUUGUACCAUACAACAAAGAUCUGCUGGUGAAAUUCCAAGCGCACAUAAAUGUGGAGUGGUGUAAUAAAUGCAUGUCAAUCAAGUACCUCUUUAAGGACAUACACAAAGGAGAUGACCAAGCAACAGCACUGGUUCAAGAAAAAGUACCAUCAAAGACUGAUGAUGAGAUUAAAAUGUACCUAAGAUGUAGAUACAUAACAGCGACUGAAGCAUGCUGGCGAAUAUUCAAAUUCCCUCUGCAAUACCAAGAACCAUCUGUUGAGAGGCUAACGUUUCACCAGGAGAACAAGCAACUAGUAAUUUUUCCUGACUCCAGAAACCUAGAUGAAAUCAUUAGACACCCAAGAUCAGGUGUCACUAUGUUUACCGAGUGGAUGGAGACGAACAAAAAGCAUGAAGAUGCCAGAGAAUUAACAUAUUCAGAGUUUCCUACAAAAUGGACAUGGAAUCACACAAAAAAGAAGUGGACACGGAGAAGAGGAGGAAAGAAAAUUGGCAGGAUCUACAAUGCACAUCCUGCAAGUGGAGAAAGGUACUAUCUUAGAGUUCUCCUCAACACUGCGAAGGGUUGCAUGACAUUUGAAGACAUCAGGACAGUCAACGGAAUUGUGCACUCAUCAUACAAAUCAGCAUGUCGUGCGCUAGGAUUUCUGAACGAUGACAAUGAGUGGAUUGAAUGCAUCAAGGAAGCAUCCAACUGGGCAUCUGGGGUGCAACUACGACAAUUGUUUGCAACUAUACUGUGCCACUGUGAGGUUACUGACCCAAGGAUGUUAUGGGAAUCCAACUGGGAGGUACUCUCUAAAGACAUACAGCAUACACCAAGCUGGAUCUUGGACUUUCCAGCCCCCUUCAGUCCUUCACACAAAAGGGAAUGCAGUUUAAUGGAAAUUGAGAAGCAAAUGGGACAAGCUGGAAAAUCACUAAAGGAAUACCCUGGCAUAGAGCUACCAAAUAUGCCCGAGUUACAUGAAAUUGAGAAAAGGCUUAUAAAUGAAGAGAUGAACUAUGACAAAGACAAAUUGAAGGGUGAGCACGUGCAAAUACUAAAGAAUCUAAAUUUUGAUCAGAAGAAGGCCUUUGAUGCAAUAAUAGAAUCAGCUGAUCAAUCAUUAGGGAGAAUAAUAUUUGUAGAUGGCCAUGGUGGGACAGGUAAGACAUACCUUUGGAAAGCUAUCACAACAAGGCUAAGAUCAGAGGGGAAAAUCGUACUUGCAGUUGCAUCUUCUGGCGUCGCAGCACUUCUGCUUCAAGGAGGUAGAACAGCACACUCAACGUUCAAUAUUCCAAUCAAUCUGACAGAUCAAUCAACAUGCUACAUCAAACAAGGUUCAGAUGUGGCGGAUUUAUUAAUGAGGACGUCACUAAUACUGUGGGAUGAAGCUCCAAUGGCAAACAAACAAUGCUUUGAGGCACUUGACAAGAGCCUAAGGGACGUGCUGAGGUUCACAAAUGAGAAUAGUUGUGCCAAGCCCUUUGGCGGCAUGACGGUUGUUCUUGGAGGGGACUUCCGACAAAUCCUCCCUGUUGUGCCAAAAGGAGGACGGGAGCACAUUAUAGAUGCAUCAAUCAAAUGUUCAUACCUCUGGCAAUAUUUUGAGGUAUUUAAUCUGACAAAAAAUAUGCGGCUCAAAUCUCUAUCCAGUGAUCAAGCAGAGCAGCAGAAGACUGCGGAAUUUGCGGAGUGGAUACUACAGAUUGGCAAUGGAGACACAUGUUUACUAGAUAAAAAGGACUAUCUAAGUAUCCCCAGUGACCUGCUGCUAGAAAAUAGAGAUGACCCAAAAACAAAAAUCAUCCAAAGUACCUAUCCUGACCUGCAAGACAAUCUCUGCAAACACGAGUUCCUGAAAGAAAGGGCGAUACUGUGUCCAUUGAACGAGACAGUCAAUGAGAUCAAUGAGUAUAUUAUGAGUCAAAUCCAAGGUGACAAGGUGACGUACCUGAGCCAUGACAGUGUGAGCACAUCGAUGAAUUACAGCCAUGAAAUGGAAUUGUUGUAUACUACAGAGUUUCUAAACAAGUUAAAGCACCCGGGAUGUCCAAAUCACCUACUUGAGCUCAAAGUUGGUCUGCCAGUGAUGCUUCUCCGCAACAUCAAUCAAAGUGCAGGGCUAUGCAACGGUACUAGAAUGGUAAUCACAAAACUUGGAGAAAGAGUCAUCGAAACGCAGAUCAUAACUGGAGCACACGUCGGUACUAAGGUGUGCAUCCCUCAGAUCAUCAUGUUGCCAUUCGAGCCUAAAUGGCCGUUUGUUCUAAAAAGAAAGCAAUAUCCUCUCUCCGUGUGCUUCGCGAUGACAAUCCACAAGAGCCAGGGACAGUCUUUGAACAAGGUCGGCCUCUACUUGCCCAGGCAAGUUUUUGCUCAUGGGCAACUCUAUGUGGCAGUCUCCAGAGUAACAAACAGGCAUGGCCUGAAGAUCCUGAUCACUGACGACGAAGAACACGCAAGCAAAGGAAAGGCGAAAAACAUAGUGUACAAGGAGAUCUUCUAA